CCCUGGAGAGUCCCUACCUCCAUUCCACCAGAAGAACCUCGAAACUCGCAGUCGAGAGGACCUCCUGGAUCAAAGAUUCUAAGAGAUGAACCAGCAGAUCGAAGAGCUCCAUCGUGCUCCCACUGCUUACGGUGAGGAUAUCUGCACUGACCCUCCUUUCUCUCAAAUGAUCAUGCAGAAACCAAUCCCGCUGAACUUCAAGCUCC
This 206-nucleotide long non-coding RNA is filed under the name Elaeis guineensis (African oil palm). Its description in RNAcentral is "long non-coding RNA (EGUI_LNC042734)". The record is from RNAcentral. Lineage: Eukaryota; Viridiplantae; Streptophyta; Magnoliopsida; Arecales; Arecaceae.